UGCCCACUGAUUUUAAAAUUAAAGGGCUGCAGUAUAUUGACUGUACAAAGGUAGCAUAAUCAUUAGUCAUUUAAUUGAUGACUUGUAUGAAAGAUUUGAUGAGAUAUAAACUGUUUUAAUUUUAAAUUGUAGAAUUUAAUUUUUUAGUUAAAAAGCUAAAAUAAUUUAAAAAGACGAGAAGACCCUAUAGAGUUUUAUUUCAAUAGAAAUUUAUAAUUUUUUAUAAAUUUUAAAUUAAAAUUUUUAUUAAAAUUUUAUUGGGGUGAUAAAAAAAUUUAAUUAACUUUUUUUUUAAUAAAAACAUAAAUAAGUGAAUAUUUGAUCCAGUUGUAUUGAUUAUAAGAAAAAAUUACCUUAGGGAUAACAGCGUAAUUUUUUUUUUUAGUUCAUAUAAGAAAAAAAGUUUGCGACCUCGAUGUUGGAUUAAGAUAAAAUUUAAAUGUAAAAGUUUAAAAUUUUGA
RNAcentral lists this ribosomal RNA (461 nucleotides) under Somena scintillans. Its description in RNAcentral is "partial large subunit ribosomal RNA". The record is from RNAcentral. Lineage: Eukaryota; Metazoa; Arthropoda; Insecta; Lepidoptera; Erebidae.